This 217-nucleotide long non-coding RNA is filed under the name Lathyrus oleraceus (garden pea). RNAcentral's name for it is "Pisum sativum (pea) long non-coding RNA (PSAT_LNC002426)". The record is from RNAcentral. Lineage: Eukaryota; Viridiplantae; Streptophyta; Magnoliopsida; Fabales; Fabaceae.
AUUUAAUCAGGAAAUAAGGUAAGGACCAAAUAAAAUCAAGGUAAAAGGCCUCUAAUACAUGGCAUAUGAGAUGAACGAGGGAGGAUCAAAAGAUCUCUUCAAUUUCCAUAAGCAAUCCCUAAGUCAAACAUCGAUCAUAAAGAAGUCAACUGAAAAUUCAAGUCAACUUAAAAAAUAACAAAUAAAUAGCAAAUUAAUCAAGAAAAUUAUGAAAAAU